RNAcentral lists this ribosomal RNA (254 nucleotides) under uncultured bacterium. RNAcentral describes it as "partial 16S ribosomal RNA". It matches the Rfam family "Bacterial small subunit ribosomal RNA", at positions 524 to 776 of the family's 1533-position model. The record is from RNAcentral.
UACGUAGGGUGCGAGCGUUGUCCGGAAUUAUUGGGCGUAAAGAGCUCGUAGGCGGUGUGUCACGUCGGCCGUGAAAACCUGCAGCUUAACUGUGGGCGUGCGGUCGAUACGGGCAUCACUGGAGUUCGGCAGGGGAGACUGGAAUUCCUGGUGUAGCGGUGGAAUGCGCAGAUAUCAGGAGGAACACCGGUGGCGAAGGCGGAUCUCUGGGCCAUAACUGACGCUGAGGAGCGAAAGCAUGGGGAGCGAACAGG